CGAUGUACAAAGUAUUCAAGCAGCCAAACAGAGCAGCGAAAGGAAAAGGAAGAGCAUGUGUAUAAGGUGCUUCAAUCCUUGCUCGAUUUAUAAUCUGGGCUCAAGGUACAACGUGAUGUACGUUGAGAAAAAUAAGUUAUGUAUUUUUAGAGUAAGAAAGGUUUUAUUGUGAUGAAAAAUGAGACUUUUUUUUCGAAUGAAGGCUUGAUUAGACAGCAGAUGUAAUUGUUGGAAAUGAGGUUGGGUGAAUUAGAGAUAUAAGGAGAUACGGAAGAGUUGCAUCCACCAAUUAACAAAGUUUGAUAAAUAAGCAAAUAAAAGCAACUUUGCAACGUUGAAAAGGGAUUGAACAAUGAUGAAUACGUUUCGGCAGACAGUAUAAAUAGGCAUACCUACAUCUAUAUAUGGGUAUGUAGUUAUGCAUCGGAAAACUGGAUAAUGCUAAUUCUCAAUUUUCCCAGCUUCUUUCGCAUCGUCAAGCGCUAUCAUCGUCGUGAAAUCGAGUCUGGAAACAGAGGAAGAAGAGCAAGAGGAGAACGAGGGAGAAUACUAUCUCUUGGGCCAAUGUAUUCCUGUCUCUAUCUUUGUUAGCUCUUUUGCCACAAGAAGCAGCACAGGCUUGUUUGGGCAGAGCUGAGUACGAAAGCAUAAUAAGCGAAUAUGCCAAGCAAGUAAACGAGUGACUCGUAAUUCCGUGGUAUAGGUAUUUUACUCCUUAUUUAAUAGAAUGAACCCUCGGAGCAAUAUCGUCCAACCGGAAAAACUCAUCGGAAACUAUAAAAAGGCUUAAUUGAAGAUGGAUUAAUAAAAAAAAGAAAUUGCUAAAAUUCCUUUAAUGAAAAAUAAUCGCAAAUCUUCCUGUUAGUUUGGCCUAAUUACUGUUGCUAUAAUGCAUUGGAUAUGAUAGUGUACAUAUGUAUACAUUAAUGAAAAGGAAACAGUUAAUUGUAAUUGAUCCAGCAAAACUCGUGGCCAGUUAUGGUAAAUAAAAGUUAAAUAACCCACUGCACUUUUACUGCACUCUGUACAUCCGUUUGUAGUGUAGAAUAGAAUACAGCAGAUGUGGUCAUUAUUUCGGGUACUUACUAUGUAGCUAUUUUUUCAUUUCUUUUUCAAUUUAAGUUUUAAGUACGUGAAUAGGAAAAAAUUUUUCAGUAAUCCUCUCAACAGUGUUAAAUAAAAACAGAAAGAGUGCAGUCGUAUUAUGGAAAAGUUACACAUCGAAUCUGAUACUUUUUAAAUUAGAUCAUAAAAAAGUUACAUCGCUCCAUCGUGUACUUUUUUCCGAGAGUUAAAUU
Molecule: long non-coding RNA, 1298 nt
Organism: Chelonus insularis
Lineage: Eukaryota; Metazoa; Arthropoda; Insecta; Hymenoptera; Braconidae
Exons: 3
Source: RefSeq, a predicted model, not a curated record